This is a non-coding RNA of Parasteatoda tepidariorum (common house spider), 203 nucleotides long. The record is from RefSeq and is a predicted model, not a curated record. Lineage: Eukaryota; Metazoa; Arthropoda; Arachnida; Araneae; Theridiidae.
UAACUAUAUAACGAUGUCUUCCUUUUCUUCAUAGUGGAUUCUUACCUGUGGCUGUUAAUUUUUUACGAAGGGUUCCAAUACUAGGCACUAUUUUAAAUUUUCCAAUCUUAAAUAAGAUUAUUGAUUAUAUUGCUGGAGAUCCAAACAGAUCAAUGGUGUAAAUAAUUAAAUCAAAGUUUUAAUAAAGUUUGUAUAAAAAUAAA